Molecule: long non-coding RNA, 1188 nt
Filed under: Vulpes vulpes (red fox)
Lineage: Eukaryota; Metazoa; Chordata; Mammalia; Carnivora; Canidae
Description: lncRNA (ENSVVUG00000000573.1)
Source: RNAcentral
AGUAUAUUUCAAUUGUAUAUCAAUAAAGUUGAUGAAAAGUAAACAGAUUAGAAACUCAAUUUACCUCUUCAUUGACUUUAGGCUCUUUUGGUCCUCCUCUUCCUGGAGAAAAUACAUGAAUGCCUUUGACUUUUGGAAUGGGAGCAGAGUUUUGAACUACAAAGAAAAACCUAAGUUCGUAUCUUCAAAUUUUGCACCCUUUAUUCUGAUGAAAGAUAGAGGUAAUAUGAGGAGAGACCCCUUUCCAAAGUACUGAUCUAAUCUGUCACUCACCCUUUCUGAAGAAAUGAUGAGUACAUAAAGUAAGCAAGGGUACUUAUUUGGUGAAUUUCAUUCUCAACCUCUCCUGGCCUCCUCAUUCUUCCAAAGCUCUGAAAUCUCAACCCUCAAGAUACACACACACAUAUACAUGUAUACAUACAUGUGGAUAUAGCCUCACAUAUCCUGGAGAACCAUUUGGGUUAGCAAACUCCUCUUAUGGAGUACAAACACAACUUAUUACUCAAUAGUGGUUUCUUUCCAAAGGAGUCUGGAUUUGGAGGUUGAAAGAAAGAAGAACAGAGGAAAAAGAAAAAAAAUUGAGCUUUGUAUCAACAUGGAUCCAAUUUCUGCUCUCCUGUGUCCAUCCUUCCAUCUCCUUCUCUGCCUUUACUACAAGAACUCUGUCACACUACACUUGGAUAACUCUGGAAACUGGGCUGUAAACAGUUUGCAGAACUGGAGAGGUGGCAGACAGAGAAUUAUGAGGAGCUGGAGGAUGAAAAGGAGUCAAGAGAUGAUGAAAGUCCCCUGGACACAUGCUUAUUUCCAAUGAGGAUUCAACAAUUCACAAGCAACCAGGUGAAAAGCUGACCCCUUGGAGAAGAACUGGCCUGUUGGAGGACAGUGAGCUAAAGAGAGAGGUCCUGGGCAAGAGUGACUCUGUGAAGGAGCAAAGCCAAGAAGAUGAACUGCAGCCCCUCAAUUUCACUGGCACCAGCUCAUCCUAUCUUAGAGGCUUGAAGAGCCACACCCAAGCUGAAAGCUCAAAAUUGUGCUCAUUGGACUCAAAGGGAGACUAAUUUGAAGUUGGCUCAAAUUUCUAAUGGGAGUCUUUGUAAGCACCUUUAGCCUCAAGAGACCAGAUGCUUAUUGGAGAUUCUUUCUUCAAGUGCACACAUUAAAUCCAGAAAUAAAUUAUAAAAUUUC